Molecule: ribosomal RNA, 904 nt
Filed under: uncultured organism
Description: SSU rRNA
Rfam family: Bacterial small subunit ribosomal RNA
Source: RNAcentral
GCUGGCGGCGUGCCUAAUACAUGCAAGUCGAGCGAACGGACGAGAAGCUUGCUUCUCUGAUGUUAGCGGCGGACGGGUGAGUAACACGUGGAUAACCUACCUAUAAGACUGGGAUAACUUCGGGAAACCGGAGCUAAUACCGGAUAAUAUUUUGAACCGCAUGGUUCAAAAGUGAAAGACGGUCUUGCUGUCACUUAUAGAUGGAUCCGCGCUGCAUUAGCUAGUUGGUAAGGUAACGGCUUACCAAGGCAACGAUGCAUAGCCGACCUGAGAGGGUGAUCGGCCACACUGGAACUGAGACACGGUCCAGACUCCUACGGGAGGCAGCAGUAGGGAAUCUUCCGCAAUGGGCGAAAGCCUGACGGAGCAACGCCGCGUGAGUGAUGAAGGUCUUCGGAUCGUAAAACUCUGUUAUUAGGGAAGAACAUAUGUGUAAGUAACUGUGCACAUCUUGACGGUACCUAAUCAGAAAGCCACGGCUAACUACGUGCCAGCAGCCGCGGUAAUACGUAGGUGGCAAGCGUUAUCCGGAAUUAUUGGGCGUAAAGCGCGCGUAGGCGGUUUUUUAAGUCUGAUGUGAAAGCCCACGGCUCAACCGUGGAGGGUCAUUGGAAACUGGAAAACUUGAGUGCAGAAGAGGAAAGUGGAAUUCCAUGUGUAGCGGUGAAAUGCGCAGAGAUAUGGAGGAACACCAGUGGCGAAGGCGACUUUCUGGUCUGUAACUGACGCUGAUGUGCGAAAGCGUGGGGAUCAAACAGGAUUAGAUACCCUGGUAGUCCACGCCAUAAACGAUGAGUGCUAAGUGUUAGGGGGUUUCCGCCCCUUAGUGCUGCAGCUAACGCAUUAAGCACUCCGCCUGGGGAGUACGACCGCAAGGUUGAAACUCAAAGGAAUUGACGGGGAC